AUGGCUAAACACCAUCCGGAUUUGAUUUUUUGCCACAAGCAGGCUGGUGUUGCCAUCGGAAGACUUUGUGAAAAAUGUUAUGGCAAGUGUGUGAUCUGUGACUCCUAUGUGCGUCCCUGCACCCUGGUGCGCAUAUGUGAUGAGUGUAAUUACGGCUCUUACCAGGGGCGCUGUGUGAUCUGUGGUGGCUCUGGAGUCUCCGAUGCCUACUACUGUAAGGAGUGCACCAUCCAGGAGAAGGAUGGAGAUGGUUGCCCAAAGAUUGUCAAUUUGGGGAGUUCUAAGACUGAUCUCUUCCAUGAACGUAAAAAGUACGGCUUUAAAAAGAGGUGA
This is a non-coding RNA of Orycteropus afer afer, 333 nucleotides long. Lineage: Eukaryota; Metazoa; Chordata; Mammalia; Tubulidentata; Orycteropodidae. The record is from RefSeq and is a predicted model, not a curated record.